GACGAACGCUGGCGGCGUGCUUAACACAUGCAAGUCGAACGGAAAGGCCCUGCUUUUGUGGGGUGCUCGAGUGGCGCACGGGUGAGUAACACGUGAGUAACCUGCCCUUGACUUUGGGAUAACUUCAGGAAACUGGGGCUAAUACCGGAUAGGAGCUCCUGCUGCAUGGUGGGGGUUGGAAAGUUUCGGCGGUUGGGGAUGGACUCGCGGCUUAUCAGCUUGUUGGUGGGGUAGUGGCUUACCAAGGCUUUGACGGGUAGCCGGCCUGAGAGGGUGACCGGCCACAAGGGGACUGAGAUACGGCGCAGACUCCUACGGGAGGCAGCAGUGGAGAAUAUUGCACAAUGGGCGGAAGCCUGAUGCAGCAACGCCGCGUGCGGGAUGACGGCCUUCGGGUUGUAAACCGCUUUCGCCUGUGACGAAGCGUGAGUGACGGUAAUGGGUAAAGAAGCACCGGCUAACUACGUG
Molecule: ribosomal RNA, 468 nt
Filed under: uncultured bacterium
Lineage: Bacteria
Description: partial 16S ribosomal RNA
Rfam family: Bacterial small subunit ribosomal RNA
Source: RNAcentral